UAGUACAGGAUGUAAACUCGGAGAAUUAAAAAAUUUGAACUAUCUUUCAGGGAGUCUAAAAAUAAGAGGGCUUGGGAAUGUGGUAGAUGCAUGUGAGGCAAAGAAUGCACAGCUCAAUAAGAAAAUAGGCCUCCAUACUCUAGAUCUAAAUUUUCACAGAGAGAAUGAUAUGAGAAUGGGGAAUGAUGAUGAAUUAGUUCUGAAUGCUUUAGAGACACCUCCAGAGUUAGAGAAAUUAUCAAUUUUUUGGUAUGAGGGCACCACAAUUUCUUUUAAUUCGACGAUGCUCUUGACCAAAUUGAAAACGCUUUAUCUCGAAGGCUGCAUAAAGUUAGAGUCAUUGUCUUCUCUAUGGAAACUGACAUUCCUUGAAUUAUUAACGAUAACGAAUGCACAUAGCUUGAAAAAGGUCGGUGUAGAAUUUUUGGGAAUAGAAUCUGAAAACAAGAAAGACAACAAAAUAAAAAUAUUCCCAAAUUUGAAAUAUCUAUGCUUUAUGGAAUUGUACGAGUGGGAAGAAUGGACUGGAAAGGAAGGGAUGAGAGAAGCAGGGGAAAACGAGGAAGACUGUUUUGAUAUAAUGCCAUGUCUUGAAGAGUUAAUAAUUCUAUGGUGCCCAAAGUUAAACUCGUUGCCGAACUUCCUUGGUUCAACUGGAUUGAAGAAAUUGGAGAUCCAAGGCAAUCAAAUUCUCAGCGAAAGAGGACUGACCCAAGAUUUCCCAUAUCCCAGGAAUCAAGAUUAACUAAGUAUGUGCAAGGACACGGAUCAGAGUAUUACGAAGACGAGUAUGACAAAGAAUUGGAUGCUGGAAAAGUUCAUUCUCUACUUGAUUUAACGUAGCAAGUCUGAUCCAGUCACAGGAGAGUGAUGAAUACAAAGGCGUGCAGAUUUCUUGUCUUAGUGAUUGAAGAGUUUCAUGACAAGGAAGAGGGGGAGGAGGAGGAUGUUACUAGUUACCACUAGGUGUGGAGGGAUUCAUAUGAGAAAUGCUUGCUUUUCCUUUUACCAUUGGUAGUUUCCCAAUUUGGAAUGACAUUCAAAAAUGGAAACAACUGAAUUAGUCACCAAUAUGUGCAAGGUAAAAAGAAGAAGAAGGCAAUGAAGCCAUACUACUAUUAUUUGUUCUGGGCUGUUCAAUUCUGAUUCACCAAUAGUUUCCCAAUUUGGAAUGACAUUCAAACAUGGACAUACCUGAUUUGUCACCAAUAUGUACGAGGGAAAAAAAGGAGGCAAUGAAGCCAUAUUAUAUUACAAUUGUUCACUCCGGUAGUGUUUCAUGGCAUGGAAUAGUGCAAAGUGGGGGAAGCAACCACCAGUAGAUAUGAAGAUAUUACAAAUACUUUGGAUCAAGUUUAUCUCAAAACUAUGGUCCAUAUGCGUAAGCUCAGCUUGCUUAAGAGGGAAUGGUUAUGCAAAUGACUGAAAUUUUAUUUUAUGGCACCAUAAUUCGGAGAACAGGAGGUGUUGGUGGCACCUUUGAAACUGUUUACAGCAUUCAGGAUUCAGUAAUCUACUAAAAAGCUUCCCUGCCUUUGUCUAAACUUAUUGGAGAAGGGUAGUUUAUGCCUCCUUUGGGGAAGCUUCCAUUGCUCAAAUCAUUAACAAUAAAGUUCUCUUAUGGUUUGAAAAAGGCGGGUGUUGAAUUUCUCGGAAUAGAAUCCAAAAACAAGAAAGAUGACAUACUAUUCCCAAAUUUUAAAACUCUCUUGUUUGUCAAUUUGGGUGAGUGGGAAGAAUGGAUUGGGAUUGGAGAAAUGAAGGCAGCAGAGGAACACUGGCGUAGCACUAUCAUGCCAUGGCUUCAAGUGUUGAGAAUCUCCAACUGCCCGAAGUUAAAGUCACUACUGGACUUCCUUUGUACAACUCCGUUGAAGGAUUUGGAGAUUGAUCGCAGUCCGAUUCUCAGCCAAAGUUGCCAAAGAGGGAUAGGAGAGGAUUGGCUUAAGAUUUCCCACAUCCCAAACAUCCAGAUUGAUUUUGAGCAUGUGUAAGGAUACGAUUCAUUGACAGCUCUCUUAGUAGCUCAAUGGCUUGGAUACUUGUUACAAGUAUGGAAGCUUAGGUGUGAGUUCUGGUGAGAGAAGAGAGCGAAGAUUUUCUUCUGGGCAUGUAGACGGAGGAUGACAAAGAAGAGUAUGGUGAAGAAGAGCAUCACGAAGCUGAGGUUUCUGAAUUUCAGCUAAAGGACACAGCUGAAAUUGUGUGUGUACGCAUGCAUGUGAAUGAACAUCCUUCCUCAGCAAAGUUCAUUCUCGGCGUGAUUAAGUCACCAAUGGUUCAAUCUUAUGCACUCUUUUGUGUUUGGCUUGGCUCCAGGUGGUUCCAUCCAUUAAGGUUGGAGUCUGACAGCCUAAAUACGGACAGGUAGUUAUUUGAAAGGUGAACGAAGUGGUAGUGUUAGAGUGUAAAUAAUCUCCAAUCAGCUAGUGGUGAAUGCAUGCUUAAUUGGGUUCAUAUACCUUGUCGAUUCUCCUUAACGGUUCAUGCUUAAUUGGGUUCGAGAAGGGUCUUAGCUAUCUGAGAUUAAGGGAUUAAGCUUGGGAAGGAGAAGGACCAAUUACAUGGCGUAAUAAAAUGCCAAAAGGAGUAGUUUUUUUCUCUGGACUACAUAGCAAACUUCGCUUCUUGUUUACUAAGGAAUUAAGCAUCUUCUGGUUGACAUAUGAUCUUGUCUGAGAAAGACAAAUAAUAUAUUCCACAUGGAAUAUAAUGCCAAAACUCAAUUAGUAGUCUACUUAGGUUAGGUAAUAUGUCGUGCUUUUUCUCAGUUUCUGGAUUAAGUGGUAAA
Long non-coding RNA from Quercus lobata, 2791 nucleotides. RefSeq lists it as uncharacterized. The transcript is spliced from 9 exons. Lineage: Eukaryota; Viridiplantae; Streptophyta; Magnoliopsida; Fagales; Fagaceae. The record is from RefSeq and is a predicted model, not a curated record.